This 400-nucleotide ribosomal RNA is filed under the name uncultured bacterium. Its description in RNAcentral is "bacterial SSU rRNA". It matches the Rfam family "Bacterial small subunit ribosomal RNA", at positions 975 to 1375 of the family's 1533-position model. The record is from RNAcentral.
CUGGUCUUGACAUCCACGGAAGUUUUCAGAGAUGAGAAUGUGCCUUCGGGAACCGUGAGACAGGUGCUGCAUGGCUGUCGUCAGCUCGUGUUGUGAAAUGUUGGGUUAAGUCCCGCAACGAGCGCAACCCUUAUCCUUUGUUGCCAGCGGUCCGGCCGGGAACUCAAAGGAGACUGCCAGUGAUAAACUGGAGGAAGGUGGGGAUGAUGUCAAGUCAUCAUGGCCCUUACGACCAGGGCUACACACGUGCUACAAUGGCGCAUACAAAGAGAAGCGACCUCGCGAGAGCAAGCGGACCUCAUAAAGUGCGUCGUAGUCCGGAUUGGAGUCUGCAACUCGACUCCAUGAAGUCGGAAUCGCUAGUAAUCGUGGAUCAGAAUGCCACGGUGAAUACGUUCCC